AUAAGGUUGUAAACCUUGCCUUGAAUAGGAGGUCUUCCUUGAUUCUGGUUCCUUGGGCACUCUCUCGCAUAGUGUUGGGCACUACUAUAUAUGCGACAAGUGUUGUUGAGGUGGCAACAUGGUCGGUCCUCGUGAUCCUUGCCACAGUGCUGACAGAUCUUACCACGUGUUGCCCUUGGAGCCUAAGGGAGAGCCUGGAUCACCAGUCUGGGCCUCUUAUUUUGUUGGACAGGCGCAGUAAGUGUUGGUCUGCAGGGUGGAGCUGAGGGUCUGUGACUCCUUGCUGACUGAGGAAGGGUGUUAAAUCUCCUCUCCACAAUCUGCGCCUUUACCAAAACGGCUGAGUAUGUCUUGAGCUCUAGUACAAAUAGGUGUUGCUUGAUCUCUGGGCGGAGGUCCUACUGGAACCUCCUAACCUUCCUGCCCUCAUCCAUCAAUGUCUCAGGGGAGUAUCGGCCCAGCUCUAGGAACUUACGAGCAUAUUCCGACAUCGUCAUGUUUCCCUACACUAGCUGGACAAACUCCAUCUCUUUUAAAUGUCGGAUGUGUUUGUGGAGGUACUCCGCAUGAAAGGCUGUUAAGAACUGCUCCCAAGUGACUGGUGCAGGCAGGGUGGUCUGCUUGAGCUCCCACCAAUGAUCUGUUUCCCCCAUAAGCAUGUAGGAAGCAAGGGUAACCCUCUGCUCGGGAACCAUUCCUAAAGUCUUAAAAGCCUUCUCUAUCUCCGCCAACCAGUACUGGGCAUCUUCAAAAGAGGAU
RNAcentral lists this long non-coding RNA (759 nucleotides) under Carica papaya (papaya). Its description in RNAcentral is "long non-coding RNA (CPAP_LNC013931)". The record is from RNAcentral. Lineage: Eukaryota; Viridiplantae; Streptophyta; Magnoliopsida; Brassicales; Caricaceae.